CGUCCACCGCUCUCUGUCACCAACAGUUCACUCUGACUCCCACUAGGAAAAGAAUGAAAUUUCGACGUCCUCACAAGCCGACAGACUUGACAGAACGCACUAGGAUAGUGUCAAUGUGGAUGGACGGGAUGACCUGCCGUUCCAUUGCACGAGCAACAGCGAAUAUGUCAACAACUGUACGUAUGACGACACUCAUUGCGUUGUUGAUGGUGAGAAAGUGUGUCGGUAGAACUAUGGAUAGUAAUGCCGGCCUCAGUCACCAAACAGACGUGCUGAUGACGGCUCCCAUGUUCCACAGCGGUGUGGUAGUAGAUCGGUGGAUAGACCAGGUGGGCGAGGUGGUGAGCCAGGUGGUGGAACAGCACCUUGCUGGGUGUCACUUGGUGCUGGUCGAUACAACAACACAAAGCUUAAUGUUCUCAACGAUGAUCAGG
Molecule: long non-coding RNA, 434 nt
Organism: Homarus americanus (American lobster)
Lineage: Eukaryota; Metazoa; Arthropoda; Malacostraca; Decapoda; Nephropidae
Exons: 3
Source: RefSeq, a predicted model, not a curated record